GAGUUUGUGGCAUUUGUUCAACUUGGGUUUGUGACGUGUUUGAACUUGAUUUUGUGGUGUUUUUGAACUCGAGUUUGUGGUGUUUUUGAACUUGAGGUUGUGGAAAUUGUUAAACUUGAGAAUUGGGUAUUGGUUGAACUUGAGUUUGUGUGUUUGUUGAACUUGAGUUUUUGCCGUGUUUGAACUUGAGUUUGUGGGUUUUUUUUAACUUGAGGUUGUGGUGUUUUUGAACUUCAGUUUGUGGAAAUUAUUAAACCUGUGUUUGUGUUGGUUGAACUUGAAUUUGUGGUGUUUGUUGAACUUGAGUUUGUGUCGUGUUUGAACUUCAGUUUGUGGUGUUUUUUGAGCUUGAGGUUGUGGUGUUUUUGAACUUGAGGUUGUUGCGUGUUUGAACUUGAGUUUGUUGUGUUUUUUUAACUUGAGGUUGUGAAAAUUGUUAAACUUGAGAAUCAGGUUUUGGUUGAACUUGAGUUUGUGGUUUUUGUUGAACUUGAGUUUGUGUCGUGUUUGAACUUGAGGUUGUGGUGUUUUUGAACUCGAGUGUGUGUGUUUGUUGAACUUGAGUUUUUGCCGUGUUUGAACUUGAGUUUGUGGGGUUUUUUUAACUUGAGGUUGUGGUGUUUUUGAACUUCAGUUUGUGGAAAUUAUUAAACCUGUGUUUGUGUUGGUUGAACUUGAAUUUGUGGUGUUUGUUGAACUUGAGUUUGUGUAGUGUUUGAACUUCAGUUUGUGGUGUUUUUUGAGCUUGAGGUUGUCGUGUUUUUGAACUUGAGUUUGUGGUGUUUUUUGAACUUGAAGUUGUGAAAAUUGUUAAAAAUGAGAAUCAGGUUUUGGUUGAACUUAAAACUUUGACAUUUGUUGAACUUGAGUUUGUGGUGUUUGCUGAAAUUUAGUUUGUGUCGUGUUUGAACUUGAGUUUGUGUUGUUUUUGAACUUGAGUUCAUGUGUUUUUUGAACUUGAGUUUGUGGCGUGUUUGAACUUGAGUUUGUGGGGUUUUUUAACUUGAGGUUGUGGUGUUUUUGAACUUCAGUUUGUGGAAUGGUUAUACUUGAGGAUUGGGAUUUGGGUGUUGGUUGAACUUUAAACUUUGACAUCUGUUGAAUUUGAGUUUGUGGUUUUUGUUGAACUUGAGUUUGUGUCGUGUUUGAACUUGAGGUUGUGGUGUUUUUUAACUCGAGUUUGUGUGUUUGUUGAACUUGAGUUUUUGCCGUGUUUGAACUUGAGUUUGUGGGAUUUUUUAACUUGAGGUUGUGGUGUUUUUGAGCUUGAGUUCUUGUGUUUUUUUAACUUGAGUUUGUGGCGUGUUUGAACUUGAGUUUGUGGCGUGUUUGAACUUGAGUUUGUGGUGUGUUUUUUGAACUUGAGGUUGUGAAAAUAGUCAAACUUGAGAAUCAGGUUUUGGUUGAAUUUGAGUUUGUGGUUUUUGUUGAACUUGAUUUUGUGUCGUGUUCUAACUUGAGUUUGUGGUGUUUUUUGUACUUGAGUUUGUGUUGUUUUUGAACUUGAGGUUGUGGUGUUUUUUGAACUUGAGUUUGUGUCGUGUUUGAACUUGAGGUUGUGGUGUUUUUGAACUUGAGUUCGUGUGUUUUUUGAACUUGAGUUUGUGGCGUGUUUGAAUUUGAGUUUGUGGCGUGUUUGAACUUGAGUUUGUGGCGUUUUUGUACUUGAGUUUGUGUUGUUUUUGAACUUGAGGUUGUGGAAAUUGUUAAACUAGAGAAUCAGGUGUUGGUUGAACCUGAGUUUGUGGUUUUUGUUGAAUUUGAGUUUGUGUCGUUUUUGAGCUUGAGGUUGUGGUUUUUUUGAACUUGAGUUUGCGUGUUUGAACUUGAGUUUGUGUGUUUUUUCAACUUGAGUUUGUUGUUUCUGAACUUGAGGUUGUGGCAAUUGUUGAACUUGAGUCUGUGGUUUUUAGUGAACUUUAGUUGGUUGCAAUUGUGGAACUUGAGUUUGUAGCAUUUGUUCAACUUGAGUUUGUGACGUGUUUGAACAUGAUUUUGUGGUGUUUUUGAACUCGAGUUUGUGGUGUUUUUGAACUUGAGGUUGUGGAAAUUGUUAAACUUGAGAAUUGGGUAUUGGUUGAACUUGAGUUUGUGUGUUUGUUGAACUUGAGUUUGUGUCGUGUUUGAACUUCAGUUUGUGGUGUUUUUUGAACUUGAGGUUGUGGUGUUUUUGAACUUGAGUCUGUGGCAGUUUUUGAACUUGAGGUUGUGGCAAUUGUUGAACUUGAGGUUUGUGACGUGUUUGAACUUGAUUUUGUGGUGUUUUUGAACUCGAGUUUGUGUUGUUUUUGAACUUGAGUUUGUGGUGUUUGUUGAUCUUGAGUUUGUGUCGUGUUUGAACUUGAGGUUGUGGUGUUUUUUAACUUGAGUUUGUGUGUUUUUUGAACUUGAGUUUGUGGUGUUUUUGCACUUGAGUUUGUGUUGUUUUUGAACUUGAGGUUGUGGAAAUUUUUAAACUUGAGAAUUGGGUAUUGGUUGAACUUGAGUUUGUGGUUUUUGUUGAACCUUAGUUUGUGUCAUGUUUUAACUUGAGUUUGUGGUGUUUUUGAACUUGAGUUUAUGGUGUUUUCUAACUUGAGGUUGUGGAAAUUGUUAAACUUGAGAAUUGGUUAUUGGAGAGGUGAAAUCUGACAUGCCGUGUGUCAAUUUAACUGGUGUUAAGUUAACCCGUUGCGCCCGACGGUCCCUCUCCCGGGCCGAGAUUUUGCUGCAUGUAUUUAAACGCUGUAAAAAAUGUAUUGAAACUUGACCGCGGUGUUUACUUUCAAUUCUCAAUCAAAGUUUGAACUCUAAUGUUCACAGAACUGGGUCGGAUGUCUGUUUUAGUGUAAACGUUACCUUUUUAUGUCGAUUUUAAUCUGUCUUGGUGUCUCUGUCUGGACAUUUAAAUUUUGCGACAUCGACCGAAUCAAAGCUUUACAGUGUAGCGGAGACAGGCUCCGUCCGGCCAUGUCUGUAGUCAUUUGAAAGGGGAGAACCUACUGAAUCGAUUGGCAUCAAUCUUUCCAAAGACUACAUUUCCCAGAUUUGAAAAAAGCCGGGCGUAAAGUGUUCGUAAUUUGUGCGCUUUUAGGUGCAGCGCCCCACAGACGAAGGCAGGAUGCUGCAUCGCACACAGAUCAGUUGGGACUCUCCUGUAAACUUUCUACACCACUUAUAAAACUUCUCUUGAGUACUUUUCAACCAGGAAAAGAAACAUUCAACUCUUAGAGGGAUAUGGCAGACAUUUUAUUAGAAAUUCAGCGGGGCUCAGACGGUGAAUUUGAGGUCUCGUCUGAAUCAGUAAUGGCGUCGGCUCCGAGGAGGAGGCAUUGUUUACAUCAGAAGUGGACCCAGUUUACUAGUAAGUAUUUGCAUUUAUCUAUAAGGCCAUGUUGUGUAAAUUGAUAUGCAUGGAACACAUUUGUCAUAAAACUGUAAACACUGUAGUAAGUAUGGCAAUCCAAUACCAUUGAAUAUUACUGCAGUUUCACUAUAUCUGUUUAUUUUGGGCUUACUUUGCUUGCAGAUACUGCAUUUUAUCUGUCUUUGAAUAUAUUCUUUAUGAGAAAAAUAAAUGAAGUACAUAUCAAUGCAAACAAAAUAUAGUAGAGCUACUCAAUUUAGUGAAUAAGUUUACAUAUAUCCACAACUUGUCCUUCAGUGAAAUGUACAAAUGUUAUUUAUUUUUGUUCUGCAUAGUAAUUGAUCACCAUUUUCACAGCCACCAAGAAGAGGGGAGUGAGGCACAUCCACCCCCACCCCCCAUCAGGGGUUUUCACACCUUCAGUACUCCCUGCACCAGACUCCCCACCCCCACCCUUACCUGCAAGAAAGGUGACAUUGCUUUUAUCAAGGUUUGUGUACUGAUCAUUUGUUUGAUUCUGGUCUCUAAAAGAAAUAAUACACUCUUUACUGCUUCAAUUAUGCAUUUAUAUGUAUUCAUUACAUUUAAUUUACUCUACCUGUGUUUGCUGUAUUUUAUAUUGUUAUAUAUUGUUUUUAAUUUACAAUAUUUGUUGCACUUUUACUUUUUAUUUUACAUUGUUUGCUCAGAAUGUUUGUUUGUUUCUCUUUUUAAACUUUUUUUAAAUAAAGAUACUCCCUGUGAAGAAAGAAAUGUAGAAGUUCCUGUUAUUUUUCACUAUUCUGUAUUACAUAUAAACAAAUAUAUUGUGCAGAAUGGUAGAAAUUGAUGAGGCAAAAGGUAAAUUUCAUAUCUUAAAGCUCCAAUAGGUAGUAGGAGACUAGUCUUAUGGAAAUAAAUUGUAAUUUGGAGCCAGUUCUCAUCAGAGGUAGAAAAUAAUCCAUUUGGCACAUUUUGGCACAAAGUGUGCCAAAUUGUGCCAAACUGAGUCCUCGCCUGGGUGUACCCUUACAAAAACCUUCAUGUAGGCUUUACUGUUUGCCCAAAUUCUAUCAAAUUUGGUACAUUUGUGGUCAAGGAGUGGAUGAAGCUAAUCAAUGUCAUCUGGGGGCCUGGAAUCAUUGCCAGCAUUGUGUUUUCCCCUGUCAAAAAAAGAAAACAUUUUGGCGAGGGUAAAAAAACACAACUUUUCCUCUGAUUCAUUCCAAUUUACUCAGGCAUAAUGACAGACAAAACACUUCUGACACUUUGAACACAUUCUCUGAAGUCUCUAGAUGUCCAAGGACACCAAGAACAUGCAUAUAACCUUUAGUAAAGUGUAGUAAUUCCUCAUUUACUUUGGGUAUGUCUUUUAGGCGUUUUUCUUUCCUUAAAAUAUGCUUAGGGUAGAACGGGUUAAACCUUACCCUAACCCCAUAAUCUAAUACCUGGGUAUUACCUUCAGGAAGCCCGAAAACCCCAAAUAUUUUAUUUUUAUUUUUAUUUUUUUUUGGUCUAACUAACUCCAAAAGGUUGGAAAAGAGUUCCUAAAAAGGUUUUGGACAGUGAUUUUAACCUUAAUGCCAAAAACCUUAAACCUUACCCUAGCCCCAUAACCUAAUACCCGGGUAUUAUCUUCAGGGAGCCCGAACACCCCAAAUAUUUUUUUUUCAUUUUACAUUUUUCUUGGUGUAACUAACUCCAACAGGUCUGAAACUUGUUCCUACAAAGGUUUUGGACAGUGAUUUUAACCCUAAUGCCAAAAACCUUAAACCUUACCCUAGCCCCGUAACCAAAUACCCGGGUAUUACCUUUAGGAAGCCUUAACACCCCAAACAUUUUUUUUUCAUUUUACAUUUUUUGUUGUUGUAACUAACUCCAAAAGGUUGGAUAAGAGUUCCUACAAAUGUUUUGGACAGUGAUUUUAACCAUAACACCAAAAACCUUAAACCUUGCCAUAGCCCCAUAACCUAAUACCCGGGUAUUACCUUCACGAAGCCCGAACACCCCAAAUAUUUUUUUUUCAUUUUAAAUUUUUUUGGUCUAACUAACUCCAAAAGGUUGGAAAACAGUUCCUAAAAAGGUUUUGGACUGUGAUUUUAACCCUAACGCCAAAAACCUUAAACCUUACCCUAGCCCCGAAACCUAAUACCCGGGUAUUACCUGAAGGAAGCCUUAACACCCCAAACCUUUUUUUUUUCGUUUUUCGUUUUUUUUUUUUUUGUCUAACUACAAAAGGUCUGAAAAAUGUUCCUAAGAAGGUUUUGGACAGUGAUUUUAACCCUAACGCCAAAAACCUUAAACCUUACCCUUGCCCCAUAACCUAAUUCCCGGGUAUUACCUUCAGGAAGCCCGAACACCCCAACUAUUUUUUUUUCAUUUUUCAUUUUUUUUGGUCUAACUAACUCCAAAAGGUCUGAAACUUGUUCCUAAAAAGGUUUUAGACAGUGAUUUUAACCCUAACGCCAAAAACCUUAAACGUUACCCCAGCCCCGUCACCUAAUACCCUAGGGUAUUACCUUCAGGAAGCCCGAAAACCCCAAAUAUUUAUUUUUCUUUUUUCUUUUUUUUUUUUGGUCUAACGAACUCCAAAAGGUUGGAAAAGAGUUCCUACAAAGGUUUUGGACAGUGAUUUUAACCCUAACGCCAAAAACCUUAAACCUUACCCUUGCCCCGUAACCUAAUACCCGGGUAUUACCUUAAGGAAGCCUUAACACGCCCAAAAAUUUUAUUUCGUUUUUCGUUUUUUUUUUUGGUCUAACUCCGAAAGGUUGGAAAAACCUUUAACCUUUACCUAGCCCCGUAACAUAAUAUAUACAUAAUAUUGCUCUACAAACACAUAGUCUAAAAGAUAGACAGCAUAGCAUACCAAUUGAGUUGAGUCAUUAAACUUCCUACCAACACAUAAUUUUUACACGCAGAUUGAGCUCGGAGACUCGACUGGGAACAUGUGACAGGUUGACAUGCGCCGGCCAGUGCAAGCCCUUGAUCAGCCUACCCCAAACCGCCAAGUCAACUGACGAAAGCGGGGGCUAUCACUGUAUCUCUUACCCACACCUAACCAGCCAGUUGCCUUCGGACAGACUUGUCACAAUAUCAUUCCGAGAAUAGUCUGAGCCCAUGCUCCUUCUGUGCACACAACCCCCCCCCCCCCCCCCCUUUAUAGAAUCUAAGAUCUUCCAGUAUCAAGGGUGAGAGUGAAUUCCAAAGAAUCCUCCACCUUGGAACCUAUACUAACACUACAUUCCUCAGAUAACUAAACAAAAAAACAUCUAAACCCUAACAGAAACCCUGACGAAAAGAUAAAUACUUUUCAAGACAAAUUAACUCCUGACCCCACCCUGCCCCCCUCCUUUUCUCCCUCUCUCCUGAUCUGUACCUCUCUCUCCUAUCAGAGGAUGAAAACCAGCAGGUGAGGAGAGUCUCAAUGGCGAGUCACGGUGGCAAGAUCUAUUCUCUUUCUAUCACUCGAAUGCCUGCAUGAGCAGAAUGGUGCCAGACGGACCACCUGCUCCCACCACAAUCCUCUGUGACUUUUUGACUCUAUCCACUUUUAGAACUUAAAAUUGUAAUCAAUAAUCAACUGACCAACUCAGCUCAAACCAAACCCAAAACUCUGCCUAGAGAACUCCCACUUCCACGUUUACAUAUCUCUUUGUAUCUCGUGAGGACCGUGAGGAGAGCAGAGCCUAGACCUAGUCGGGUCGGGGGACUAUGUCCCUUGCUCACUCUCCUCACAUGGGUGGUGAGAGCUGGGGAGCUAUGGGAUGUUUCAUCCGCCACCAAAUCCCCCUCACCAAUCUUUAUUUUCCACCAUCUCCACCUCUCCCUUAAACCCCCCUCUCCCUCUUCCCUUCUCUCUCUCUCUCUCUCUCUUACACACACACACACACACACACACACACACACACACACUCCCCCCCUCUCUCUAUCUCCCUCUUUCCCUCUUCCCCCUCUCUCUCUCACACACACUCUCUCUCUCUCUCCCUCAUCUCUCUCCCUCAUCUCUCCCCCUCUCUCUAACACACCCCCUCUUUCUUAUUCCCUCCCCUGCCCCUUUAUUUUCACCUUCACAGAGGACAAAUAGGUGAUCUUCAGCCUAGGCCUACCCCGGCCGGGGGGUAACCCCUGUUGGGUCACCUAUAUGGAGGAUUAAGAGAGACCUGAAGGGGAACCGCCGUGCCCCCUAAAUCCUCCCCCUCAAACAUCUUUUUUAACACUCUAAUAUUAGCCAGCUAACCCCAUUACAAACAACCUCAUCAAAAAUUUAAAUAAUAAAUACUUAUCAAUAACUGACCAUUAGUGACACCAGACUAAGCUAGCAAAAAAGAACACACACACACACGUACAGAUUUUCCCUUAGGACACUGAUCAAAUUUACAUUUCUGUCUGUCUUUUAGGGAACUGUUCUCUGUUUUUAAGCUCACUUUUUUUUGCUAUUUGCUCUUGACACUUCUUUUUUUCCUUUUUUCUUCCCCUUCCCUUUUUGCAAUCCACUUUUGUACUUUUAUUUUUUUAUUUUUCAUUGUUUUAUAUUAUUUUAUUUUAUUUUAUUUUAUUUUAGGAUUCCUGUACUUUUGUUUUUUUUCCCCCCGCCCCUCUUUUUUCUUAGGAAGGACUGACUCCUGAGGUUCUCAUGCCAGGAAAAAAUGUACCUCCCUCACUCACGGUUUUACCCACAAUCCUUUGCUGCAACAGGGAGAUUGAUUCCCAAGGCUCUCAUGCCAGAAAGGAAGUACCUCACUCACUCACGGUUUUACCCACAAUCCUUUGCUGUAACAGGAAGAUUGAUUCCUUAGGCUCUCAUCCCUCAGAACUAAAAUACCCACAAUCCCUUGCGAUUGCAUACAAAUUUAAUGUAGCAAAACUCAAUUUAAAACAAAUAAACCACUUUAAAAUUAACUUAAAACAACUUGAAAGUUUAAAAUACAACCAAGAGACAUCCAUUCUGGAGAACAAACAUCGAGAAGAGAACACAACCAUGUCUGAGAGGAACAACACAAACCACGACUCGAGCCCCACUGUGGAGAGUCUGGUCCUGUUGAAAGCACUUUUAAGUGUUGUGCACUAGAGAGCAAUUCCUGUUCCUGUAAUUGAGACAAAGCCCUGACCACUGGACCAAGAAGACGGACCUCCGCCUCGAGGAAGACGCUGCGCCGCCACCUGACAGAAGACGCCGUACCUCCUUUACUCGAAGCCGGCCACCACUGAGCUUCGACCCGCCGACGGCACCGAGUCCCAGCAAACCUUCCCGCGGACCGCCUAUCUUCUUUCCCCC
Molecule: long non-coding RNA, 8603 nt
Filed under: Xyrichtys novacula (pearly razorfish)
Lineage: Eukaryota; Metazoa; Chordata; Actinopteri; Labriformes; Labridae
Source: RNAcentral